RNAcentral lists this ribosomal RNA (193 nucleotides) under uncultured bacterium. Its description in RNAcentral is "partial 16S ribosomal RNA". It matches the Rfam family "Bacterial small subunit ribosomal RNA", at positions 326 to 539 of the family's 1533-position model. The record is from RNAcentral.
ACGCUCGACACCUAGGCAGCAGUGGGGAAUAUUGCACAAUGGGGGAAACCCUGAUGCAGCGACGCCGCGUGGAGGAAGAAGGUCUUCGGAUUGUAAACUCCUGUUGUUGGGGAAAAAGAGGAUGGUACCCAACAAGGAAGUGACGGCUAACUACGUGUCAGCAGCCGCGGUAAUCUGAGCGGGCUGGCAAGGC